AGCAGCCGCGGUAAUUCCAGCUCCAAUAGCGUAUAUUAAAGUUGUUGCAGUUAAAAAGCUCGUAGUUGAAUUUCGGGAUUGACACAUCGGUCGUGCCUUAAGGGGUAUGAACUGGUGUAGUCAGUUUCUCACCUUCUGGAGAACCGCGAUGUCCUUAAUUGGGUGCCGCGAGGAACCAGGACCUUUACUUUGAAAAAAUUAGAGUGUUUAAAGCAGGCAUUUUGCUUGAAUACAUUAGCAUGGAAUAAUAAAAUAGGACGGAUGGUUCUAUUUUGUUGGUUUCUAGGAUCACCGUAAUGAUUAAUAGGGAUAGUUGGGGGCAUUAGUAUUCAAUUGUCAGAGGUGAAAUUCUUGGAUUUAUUGAAGACUAACUACUGCGAAAGCAUUUGCCAAGGAUGUUUCAUUAAUCAAGAACGAAAGUUAGGGGAUCGAAGACGAUCAGAUACCGUCGUAGUCUUAACCAUAAACUAUGCCGACUAGGAAUCAGACGAUGUAAUUUUUUAAUAGUACUCGUUUGGUC
This 520-nucleotide ribosomal RNA is filed under the name uncultured Entrophospora. RNAcentral's name for it is "SSU rRNA". It matches the Rfam family "Eukaryotic small subunit ribosomal RNA", at positions 569 to 1085 of the family's 1831-position model. Lineage: Eukaryota; Fungi; Glomeromycota; Glomeromycetes; Entrophosporales; Entrophosporaceae. The record is from RNAcentral.